Molecule: small RNA, 28 nt
Filed under: Bombyx mori (domestic silkworm)
Lineage: Eukaryota; Metazoa; Arthropoda; Insecta; Lepidoptera; Bombycidae
Description: ovarian small RNA-2323
Source: RNAcentral
UGUUGAGCUUGGAUGCCGCCGUCGCCAC